GGGAAUACCUUUCUUAAAAAGUUAGCGAGAUUGCACAGGAUUUUCCAAUGACUUAUGCAUUAUACUACACACUUCUUAUCCUUUAAUCACCAGCUGCAAGACCAAUGUGUGUAAUGGACAAUCACAGAAAGAGAUCGUUUCGGCCGCCUUUAAUCCGUGGUGCUGAGGUCCCUUCCAUGACAAGAUAAGUAUAUGGCAAAAACUUCUGGGUAUUGCAGGCUGGAUACUUUGGUCAAACUGCUUUUUUUUUCCUAUAACAGUAGGAGGUGAACAAACAAAGCCACGUCUGAGAUUCAGUGUAAGCUAUGAAGAAGUCACUCCAAAUGAGAGUUUCUGGAGAUAUUUUUAUCUUCUAAAAGCUUCAUACCUCUGACAACCAGUCAAGCUGCAGUUCAUUUGUGUAAACACUUUAUUAGAAAUGAAAAUCCCACAAAUGUCUCAAAGGAUACAGUAAUAAACUAUUGAGAUAACUUCAAAUUGCCUCAACCUUCCUUGUAUCCAAGGAAGCAUUGUAUUAAAACAGAUGGAUAACCUGAAAAGAGCCACAUUAAAGUCUGAACUCCCUAACAACAAAGUCUUCAAUUUUUGUCAUCCAAUAGUUUUGUAAUCCAAGUUCACCCAAAUAGAAGAAACAGCAGAACAAUCCAAGGCUAAAGCUGUAAUUAUAUUUGUAGAGAUCCUAUUAAGACCCUGAAAGGCAGGAAUUUAAUGAUUUCAGCAUUUUCUUUUGUCAUGAACAUAUGUGGGAGAAGUAAUUUUAGAAAAACCUGUUUAUAAUACCACAAAUAAACUAAUAAGGAGCCAUUUGGAACACCUUGUUUCCUUAAUAUAAGCAUGCAAAUAAUACGAUAUAACCUUGCUGGCUGACAAUAAAACAAGACAGUAUAUGCCAUUUGUUGACAGAGAUGGAGGAAUUUAUUUUUAAUGUCUCAUUGAAAGCACAAAUUUAAUUCAUCAAAACUUUAAUUUAGCUACAGACUGCAAGUUUGAUAUUACAUUUGAUUAUUUACUUUCAACCAGCCUCAAAUCUGGCUAACACUGACAGUAACAUUGCUGCACGGAAAGGGAAUGUCAGUAGUUUUUAUAUAAAGUAGUAAAAAGGUAGCAAAAAACAACAACAAAAAAACAAAAAAACAAAAAACAGCAAUAGGUUAGUGGUCAUAGGUUUAA
Molecule: long non-coding RNA, 1170 nt
Organism: Oreochromis niloticus (Nile tilapia)
Lineage: Eukaryota; Metazoa; Chordata; Actinopteri; Cichliformes; Cichlidae
Exons: 2
Source: RefSeq, a predicted model, not a curated record